RNAcentral lists this ribosomal RNA (253 nucleotides) under uncultured bacterium. RNAcentral describes it as "partial 16S ribosomal RNA". It matches the Rfam family "Bacterial small subunit ribosomal RNA", at positions 524 to 776 of the family's 1533-position model. The record is from RNAcentral.
UACGGAGGGUGCGAGCGUUAAUCGGAAUUACUGGGCGUAAAGCGUGCGUAGGUGGUUCGACGAGUCAGAUGUGAAAGCCCUGGGCUUAACCUGGGAAUGGCAUUUGAUACUAUCGAGCUCGAGUUUGGUAGAGGGAAGUGGAAUUCCAGGUGUAGCGGUGAAAUGCGUAGAUAUCUGGAGGAACAUCAGUGGCGAAGGCGGCUUCCUGGACCAAAACUGACACUGAGGCACGAAAGCGUGGGUAGCAAACAGG